This 441-nucleotide ribosomal RNA is filed under the name uncultured soil bacterium. RNAcentral describes it as "bacterial SSU rRNA". It matches the Rfam family "Bacterial small subunit ribosomal RNA", at positions 26 to 522 of the family's 1533-position model. The record is from RNAcentral.
AGAACGAACGCUGGCGGCAUGCCUAAUACAUGCAAGUCGAACGAACUCUUCGGAGUUAGUGGCGCACGGGUGCGUAACGCGUGGGAAUCUGCCCCUUGGUUCGGAAUAACAGUUGGAAACGACUGCUAAUACCGGAUGAUGACGAAAGUCCAAAGAUUUAUCGCCAAGGGAUGAGCCCGCGUAGGAUUAGCUAGUUGGUGAGGUAAAGGCUCACCAAGGCAACGAUCCUUAGCUGGUCUGAGAGGAUGAUCAGCCACACUGGGACUGAGACACGGCCCAGACUCCUACGGGAGGCAGCAGUAGGGAAUAUUGGACAAUGGGCGAAAGCCUGAUCCAGCAAUGCGCGUGAGUGAUGAAGGCCUUAGGGUGUAAGCUCUUUACCGAGAUGAUAAUGACAGUAUCGGAAGACUAAGCCCGAUAACUCCGUGCCAGCACGCCGAC